RNAcentral lists this ribosomal RNA (497 nucleotides) under uncultured bacterium. RNAcentral's name for it is "partial 16S ribosomal RNA". It matches the Rfam family "Bacterial small subunit ribosomal RNA", at positions 28 to 507 of the family's 1533-position model. The record is from RNAcentral.
GAUGAACGCUGGCGGCGUGCCUAAUACAUGCAAGUCGAGCGAACAGACGAGGAGCUUGCUCCUCUGACGUUAGCGGCGGACGGGUGAGUAACACGUGGAUAACCUACCUAUAAGACUGGGAUAACCUCGGGAAACCGGAGCUAAUACCGGAUAAUAUAUUGAACCGCAGGGUUCAAUAGUGAAAGACGGUGUUGCUGUCACGUAUAGAUGGAUCCGCGCCGCAUUAGCUAGUUGGUAAGGUAACGGCUUACCAAGGCAACGAUGCGUAGCCGACCUGAGAGGGUGAUCGGCGACCCUGGAGCUGGGACAGCGUCCAGGCUCCUACGAGAGGCAGCAGUAGCCAAUGUUCCGCAGUGGGCGAAAGCCUGGCGCAGCAGCGGCGAGUGAGUGACGGAGGUCUUCGGAUCGUAAUGCUCUGUUUUUAGGGAAGAACAAAUGUGUAAGUAGCUGUGCACGUCUUGACGGUACCUAGUCAGAAAGCCACGGCUAACUACGUG